This 644-nucleotide long non-coding RNA is filed under the name Salmo salar (Atlantic salmon). RNAcentral's name for it is "lncRNA (ENSSSAG00000111967.1)". The record is from RNAcentral. Lineage: Eukaryota; Metazoa; Chordata; Actinopteri; Salmoniformes; Salmonidae.
GUCCUUCAACCCCCUCAAUACUCCUCUCUCUCUCUCUCUCUCUCUCUCUCUCUUCCAACAAAGAGUCCUUCAACCCCUUCAAUACUCCUCUCUCUCUCUUCCAACAAGCAGUCCUUCAACCCCCUCAAUACUCCCUCUCUCUCUCUCUCUCUCUCUCUCUCUUCCAACAAGCAGUCCUUCAACCCCCUCAAAACUCCCCUCUCUCUCUCUCUUCCAACAAGCAUCCUUCAACCCCCUUAAUACUACUCUCUCUCUCUUUCAACAAGCAGUCCUUAAACCCCUUCAAUACUCCUCUCUCUCUCUCUCUCUUCCAACAAACAGUCCUUCAACCCCCCUCAAUACUCCUCUCUCUCUCUCUCUCUCUCUCGCUCUCCCAACAAACAGUCCUUCAACCCCCUCAAUACUCCUCUCUCUCUCUCUCUCUCUUCCAACAAACAGUCCUUCAACCCCUUCAAUACUCCUCUCUCUCUCUUCCAACAAGCAGUCCUUCAACCCCCUCAAUACUCCCUCUCUCUCUCUCUCUCUCUCUCUUCCAACAAGCAGUCCUUCAACCCCCUUAAUACUACUCUCUCUCUCUUUCAACAAGCAUCCUUCAACCCCCCUCAAUACUCCUCUCUCUCUCUCUCUCUUCCAACAAGCAGUCC